Long non-coding RNA from Ostrinia nubilalis (European corn borer), 246 nucleotides. RefSeq lists it as uncharacterized. The transcript is spliced from 3 exons. NCBI's taxonomy places the organism in Eukaryota, Metazoa, Arthropoda, Insecta, Lepidoptera, Crambidae. The record is from RefSeq and is a predicted model, not a curated record.
CUGCCCGACCCGCCGCCCAGGCGGUGCCAUGUGCUGCACAAGAAGGGCUCCUGCUGCCCAGAGUUGCAUUGUCCUGAUGGUGUCAAACUUAUGGAGCACGGUGCAUCGGCUCGGUUUGAGAGCGACGAUAUCUCUGACAUCGCCACUCCUGCGUCUAUAGCACAUGCGUGCGUGGAGGGCGGCACGGUGUACGCGGCGGGCUCGGCCAUGGGCUCGGGCGUGGCGUGCGAGCAGUGCUUCUGCCUG